RNAcentral lists this long non-coding RNA (608 nucleotides) under Equus caballus (horse). Its description in RNAcentral is "lncRNA (ENSECAG00000049128.1)". The record is from RNAcentral. Lineage: Eukaryota; Metazoa; Chordata; Mammalia; Perissodactyla; Equidae.
UGCUCAGUCAAGUGGGGAGGACAGCAGCGCUCGCUUCCUCGGGGCUGUGGUGAGGAUGCAGGAUACCUGUAAAAGCACCCUCGGGGAGCUCCCAGCGCGAGGCCGGAAGAAUCAUGCAGCACCCCAAAACCCACGUCAGCUACCUGAUGAGGCUGCUCGACCUUUGGGGAGGUCACGAGGACCUUGUGAUGGCAGUUAGGACCCAUCUGGAUAAUCCAGGAUCGUCUCUCCAUCUCGAGAUCCUUAAUGUAAUCACCUGCCUGUCCUUUCUGCCGUACAAGCUCUGUGUUCCUGUUCCGGUUCCCACAACUCCUCAGCCAGUUCCUGAGGAAGCAGCUCCAGGAGCUCCUCAGUGUCAUCCUCAUCCGCAUCCAGAAGAAAGCUGUUUGCCAUCCCAGCCACAGCCUUGUGGAUUUCUGCAACCUCCUCAUCCUUAGCAAACCCUUUGAAGCCGUGGACCAAUCUCCUGAGUGUCUUCUUCCGAUCCUGUUAGUCAUUCGAUGUAGCCUCUUGCUGGCAGCAUUAGCAGUGGAUUUCAUAUAAUUAGUGGCCCUGAUGAAACAAACAACAUGAAAUUAUAUCAGGCACAAGAGAAAAUGGUGCAAUCA